This is a small nucleolar RNA of Juglans regia (Persian walnut), 88 nucleotides long. RefSeq annotates it as small nucleolar RNA SNORD24. Lineage: Eukaryota; Viridiplantae; Streptophyta; Magnoliopsida; Fagales; Juglandaceae. The transcript has a single exon. The record is from RefSeq and is a predicted model, not a curated record.
GGCCGGUGAUGUGAGAAAUCAUAUUUGCUACUCUUGAUUGGAAAUGAUCCACAUGUGAUGCUUCUUAUACACCAAGAUCUCUGAGGCC